UACGUAGGGGGCAAGCGUUGUUCGGAAUUACUGGGCGUAAAGGGCGCGUAGGCGGCAUGGCAAGUCAGGAGUGAAAGGCCUGGGCUCAACCGAGGAACUGCUUUUGAUACUGCCAAGCUAGAGUGCGGAAGGGGCAACUGGAAUUCCCAGUGUAGCGGUGAAAUGCGUAGAUAUUGGGAAGAACACCUGAGGCGAAGGCGGCAUCCUGGACCAAUUCUGACGCUGAGGAGCGAAAGCCAGGGGAGCAAACGGG
This 253-nucleotide ribosomal RNA is filed under the name uncultured bacterium. Its description in RNAcentral is "partial 16S ribosomal RNA". It matches the Rfam family "Bacterial small subunit ribosomal RNA", at positions 524 to 776 of the family's 1533-position model. The record is from RNAcentral.